This 499-nucleotide ribosomal RNA is filed under the name uncultured bacterium. RNAcentral describes it as "partial 16S ribosomal RNA". It matches the Rfam family "Bacterial small subunit ribosomal RNA", at positions 28 to 507 of the family's 1533-position model. The record is from RNAcentral.
GACGAACGCUGGCGGCGUGCUUAACACAUGCAAGUCGAACGGGCCCGCUCUCUUUUUUGGGGGUGGGUUGCGUGGCGAACGGGUGAGUAUCACGUGAGUAACCUGCCCCCUGCUCCUGGAUAACUGCUUGAAAGGGCGGCUAAUACGGGGUGUGCCGGCUGGUCCGCAUGGGCCUGGUCGGGAUAGUUUCAUCUUCGGGUGUUUCGGGGGGGGAUGGGCUCGCGGCCUAUCCGCUUGUUGGUGGGGUGAUGGCCCACCAAGGCGGUGACGGGUAGCCGGCGUGAGAGGGUGGGCGGCCACACUGGGACUGAGACACGGCCCAGACGCCGGCGGGAGGCAGCAGUGGGGGGUAUUGCACAAUGGGCGGAAGCCUGAUGCAGCGACGUCGCGUGAGGGAUGGAGGCCUUCGGGUUGUGAACCUCUUUCUCCGGUGGUGAAGGCCCUGUCCGUUGCGGCGGGGUUGACGGUAGCCGGGGAUGAAGCGCCGGCUAACUACGUG